CGCAACUGCAAACCAUGAUUUCAUCGUCUGCUUUUCUUGUGUGUAGUUUUAUUGAUUAAUAUUAAUUUCAUUGAUUUAUACUUAUAUUAUAAAAAAGUAAGAAAAAUAUUUUUGGAAAAAAUCAUACAUAUAAACUGAAUUAUCGCACAUAAAAUAUGAGGUUAUAAUUUUUAAGCAAUUAUUAAAUAUAUAGUUAAAACGUGUCAAGAUUGUAAAAAUCAUAAACAUGUUUUCAGGUUAUGUUAAUUGAGUGAUGCUGUGUAGGAAACGAAACGAUGAAAUCAUGGUUUCGAGUUACGUUGGUAGUCCUGACUUCAGGCCCCAAACAAGGCAUUUUUAAAACCAAGCCUGGGCAAAUAAAUCGCCUAACUUCGUAAAUCCCCUCAAUCAAGUACUGAAACAAUAGUUUUACAAGCAUUAUAUUACAAGAGAUUCACUAACGAGCCACAGAGGUGACGGAGGAACGAGUUCGCUGUCGCAAAGUUUAAACAGCUUAGAGGGAUGUUGUGGCGCUCCAACGCUUGGGGUGCUUAGUCAGCUGGAAACCUCUAAUAGUCUUGAAGUUUACGCACAAAGACCACAAAGGAGUCUCUAUUCGUGAAUGAUACAAUAAUCGUACCCUGGAGGUGAGAUUGGGUAAAGCAUCAUUUUCAGAGUUUCAGGUCAAAUAUGGCAAAUAAUGCGAUCAACUUACGGAUCUCUAUUUUAAUUUGCAAUAUGUUUAUACAUCCUGCGUAUAUAUAUAAUUACAAUUAUAAAAUGAAAUAAAAAUCCAACAUCAGGAGGAAAUAAUUAAAUAUUUUUCUCACCUUCAAUGUCCGAAAGUAGUUGAGGACUUUCCUGCAAAUUUUCAUUAUUAUUAGUCUCUGCGAGCAAUGAUUGCUGAUGAAUGAGAGAAGUUGGUUGUUUGGGCUUAACGACACGAAAUGCUGAAGCCUCAGCGACUCCUCGUCGAGAAAAAUCAAGUGGACCCACCCCAACCGGAUCAGGAAAUAGAGUUGACCAACAAGGGAGAAGACGUUAUAGUGGGUGCCUCGACGGCGACUGCUGUUAACAGAUCUGAUAGUAGAGGGAUUCAAGCGAUGACGGACGAAAGUUGGAGAGAGAGAGAGAGGAAACCGGG
Leptopilina boulardi is the source of this 1123-nucleotide long non-coding RNA. RefSeq lists it as uncharacterized. The record is from RefSeq and is a predicted model, not a curated record. The transcript is spliced from 5 exons. NCBI's taxonomy places the organism in Eukaryota, Metazoa, Arthropoda, Insecta, Hymenoptera, Figitidae.